AAAAAAUAAAAAAUUGAUGUUACAUUGGAAGAUUGAUUGACCUUUGGUCCCAGUCUGACAGUCACUGAGUUAUCCACCCUCACUUUUUUUUAGUGGAGUAAUUCUGGAAAAUUUGUCCUAGCUGUGUUUCACAUUGGGUGGUAAAAGAGACUGAAAGAGGGGGGCUGGAAAAGCAGGGCAUGUGACCUCCUACCUUCUCUGUUGAGGCUGUGCUCCACACAGAGCACUUUGCGGAAUGGGGGGAUAUUACACCAUGAAGGAGAAAUGAGAUUAUGAUAAAAGAGGGGAGUUAGAGAUAUCUAAACUGUCUUAAAUCUGUUUUGAAUAGGAACACUUAUUUUUUUUCUUGAAAUGCUUAGUUGAAAAACUGAGGUGAACUCUUCAUACUUUCUGAGAUACUCUAAUUCCUAGCCUCGCUGGAGUUUAUACUCUUUCACUUUGCAGGCCUUGUCAAUGCCUGUUCAAAGCAGCACGGGGUUCUAGCUGUCUAUGGAGUGCAAAUGUAUUUACUGAUUGUGCAAUACUUUUUUGAGAUAAGUUUAUUAGUAGUAGUAUUUUUAACUCCCACCAGCUGCUUGUGCAAGGCAGGGAGUGACUGAAAACGGCAGAAAUCCUCCUUGCUCUUCAGUUUUGCUGUCCUGAGGUGGGAUGUUAUUCCUUGCUUGCCUGGUGUGCUGGAGGAGGCCUGUGUGGGCAAGCGAGACCUUCUCAUGAGAGGCAGGGGCUGAACUGAGGUGUUCGAGGAAACUGUCCUACACAGAUAGCAAACAAAAAAAACUCUUUGGGCUUUUGGAUAUCUUAGAGAUAAAUUUCUCAAGGAUCUCGGACUGCUUUUCUUCUCCUGCCGGCCCUUUUAUUUUCUUGGGCUGCUGCUAAUCAGUAACUACGUUUUCCUUACUUCAGGGUCAUUGCUGUGUUUCCUUUGCUGUGAGGAUUUAAAAGGGCUUUCCUAUCACUGACAAAUAUCAAAGCAGCUGCAGAAUGGAUCAGUAUUUAAAUGGGUUGCAUUAUGUGAACAGUGAAUGCAAAGAAUGCACAACUUUUGGAGUGUUUCCAGAGUCAAGCUUUGACUGCUUGCUUCUGAGGGAGUAG
RNAcentral lists this long non-coding RNA (1092 nucleotides) under Phasianus colchicus (ring-necked pheasant). RNAcentral describes it as "lncRNA (ENSPCLG00000016247.1)". Lineage: Eukaryota; Metazoa; Chordata; Aves; Galliformes; Phasianidae. The record is from RNAcentral.